CUAAGAGCGAAUGGUGGAUGCCUUGACUGGUAAAGGCGAUGAAGGACGUACUAGACUGCGAUAAGCUACGGGGAGCUGUCAAGAAGCUUUGAUCCGUAGAUUUCCGAAUGGGGCAACCCAAUGUAUAGAGAUAUACAUUACCUAUAUAGGAGCGAACGAGGGGAAUUGAAACAUCUUAGUACCCUCAGGAAAAGAAAUCAAUAGAGAUUGCGUCAGUAGCGGCGAGCGAAAGCGUAAGAGGGCAAACCCAGUGCUUGCACUGGGGGUUGUAGGACUGCAAUGUGCAAGAGGUGAGUUUAGCAGAACAUUCUGGAAAGUAUAGCCAUAGAGGGUGAUAGUCCCGUAUGCGAAAAACAAACCUUAGCUAGCAGUAUCCUGAGUAGGGCGGGACACGAGAAAUCCUGUCUGAAGCUGGGUCGACCACGAUCCAACCCUAAAUACUAAUACCAGAUCGAUAGUGCACAAGUACCGUGAGGGAAAGGUGAAAAGAACUGAGGUGAUCAGAGUGAAAUAGAACCUGAAACCAUUUGCUUACAAUCAUUCAGAGCACUAUGUAGCAAUACAGUGUGAUGGACUGCCUUUUGCAUAAUGAGCCUGCGAGUUGUGGUGUCUGGCAAGGUUAAGCAAACGCGAAGCCGUAGCGAAAGCGAGUCUGAAUAGGGCGCUUAGUCAGAUGCUGCAGACCCGAAACGAAGUGAUCUAUCCAUGAGCAAGUUGAAGCUAGUGUAAGAACUAGUGGAGGACUGAACCCAUAGGCGUUGAAAAGCCCCGGGAUGACUUGUGGAUAGGGGUGAAAGGCCAAUCAAACUUCGUGAUAGCUGGUUCUCUCCGAAAUAUAUUUAGGUAUAGCGUUGUGUCGUAAUAUAAGGGGGUAGAGCACUGAAUGGGCUAGGGCAUACACCAAUGUACCAAACCCUAUCAAACUCCGAAUACCUUAUAUGUAAUCACAGCAGUCAGGCGGCGAGUGAUAAAAUCCGUCGUCAAGAGGGAAACAACCCAGACUACCAGCUAAGGUCCCUAAAUCUUACUUAAGUGGAAAACGAUGUGAAGUUACUUAAACAACCAGGAGGUUGGCUUAGAAGCAGCCAUCCUUUAAAGAAAGCGUAAUAGCUCACUGGUCUAGUGAUUUUGCGCGGAAAAUAUAACGGGGCUAAAGUAAGUACCGAAGCUGUAGACUUGAUUUUAUCAAGUGGUAGGAGAGCGUUCUAUUUGCGCCGAAGGUAUACCGGUAAGGAGUGCUGGAGCGAAUAGAAGUGAGCAUGCAGGCAUGAGUAGCGAUAAUUAAUGUGAGAAUCAUUAACGCCGUAAACCCAAGGUUUCCUACGCGAUGCUCGUCAUCGUAGGGUUAGUCGGGUCCUAAGUCGAGUCCGAAAGGGGUAGACGAUGGCAAAUUGGUUAAUAUUCCAAUACCAACAUUAGUGUGCGAUGGAAGGACGCUUAGGGCUAAGGGGGCUAGCGGAUGGAAGUGCUAGUCUAAGGUCGUAGGAGGUUAUACAGGCAAAUCCGUAUAACAAUACUCCGAGAACUGAAAGGCUUUUUGAAGUCUUCGGAUGGAUAGAAGAACCCCUGAUGCCGUCGAGCCAAGAAAAGUUUCUAAGUUUAGCUAAUGUUGCCCGUACCGUAAACCGACACAGGUGGGUGGGAUGAGUAUUCUAAGGCGCGUGGAAGAACUCUCUUUAAGGAACUCUGCAAAAUAGCACCGUAUCUUCGGUAUAAGGUGUGGUUCGCUUCGUAUUAGGAUUUACUCCGAAAGCGAAGAAACUUACAACAAAGAGUCCCUCCCGACUGUUUACCAAAAACACAGCACUCUGCUAACUCGUAAGAGGAUGUAUAGGGUGUGACGCCUGCCCGGUGCUCGAAGGUUAAUUGAUGGGGUUAGCAUUAGCGAAGCUCUUGAUCGAAGCCCGAGUAAACGGCGGCCGUAACUAUAACGGUCCUAAGGUAGCGAAAUUCCUUGUCGGUUAAAUACCGACCUGCAUGAAUGGCGUAACGAGAUGGGAGCUGUCUCAAAGAGGGAUCCAGUGAAAUUGUAGUGGAGGUGAAAAUUCCUCCUACCCGCGGCAAGACGGAAAGACCCCGUGGACCUUUACUACAGCUUGACACUGCUAUUUGGAUAAGAAUGUGCAGGAUAGGUGGGAGGCUUUGAGUAUAUGACGCCAGUUGUAUAUGAGCCAUUGUUGAGAUACCACUCUUUCUUAUUUGGGUAGCUAACCAGCUUGAGUUAUCCUCAAGUGGGACAAUGUCUGGUGGGUAGUUUGACUGGGGCGGUCGCCUCCCAAAUAAUAACGGAGGCUUACAAAGGUUGGCUCAGAACGGUUGGAAAUCGUUCGUAGAGUAUAAAGGUAUAAGCCAGCUUAACUGCAAGACAUACAAGUCAAGCAGAGACGAAAGUCGGUCUUAGUGAUCCGGUGGUUCUGUGUGGAAGGGCCAUCGCUCAAAGGAUAAAAGGUACCCCGGGGAUAACAGGCUGAUCUCCCCCAAGAGCUCACAUCGACGGGGAGGUUUGGCACCUCGAUGUCGGCUCAUCGCAUCCUGGGGCUGGAGCAGGUCCCAAGGGUAUGGCUGUUCGCCAUUUAAAGCGGUACGCGAGCUGGGUUCAGAACGUCGUGAGACAGUUCGGUCCCUAUCUGCCGUGGGCGUAAGAAGAUUGAAGAGAUUUGACCCUAGUACGAGAGGACCGGGUUGAACAAACCACUGGUGUAGCUGUUGUUCUGCCAAGAGCAUCGCAGCGUAGCUAAGUUUGGAAAGGAUAAACGCUGAAAGCAUCUAAGCGUGAAGCCAACUCUAAGAUGAAUCUUCUCUAAGCUCUCUAGAAGACUACUAGUUUGAUAGGCUGGGUGUGUAAUGGAUGAAAGUCCUUUAGCUGACCAGUACUAAUAGAGCGUUUGGCUUAUCU
Molecule: ribosomal RNA, 2896 nt
Filed under: Campylobacter coli
Lineage: Bacteria; Pseudomonadati; Campylobacterota; Epsilonproteobacteria; Campylobacterales; Campylobacteraceae
Description: bacterial LSU rRNA
Rfam family: Bacterial large subunit ribosomal RNA
Source: RNAcentral